Molecule: non-coding RNA, 21 nt
Filed under: Caenorhabditis elegans
Lineage: Eukaryota; Metazoa; Nematoda; Chromadorea; Rhabditida; Rhabditidae
Source: RNAcentral
GUUUGAAUUUCCGUUUUGUUC